CUCUUGUUGCCUUGUGAGGAAGGUAUGUGUUUCUCCUUCGCCUUCUGCCAUGCGUGUAAGUUUCCUGAGGCCUCCCCAACCAUGUGGAACUGUGAGUAAAUUAAAACUUUUUCCUUUAUAAAUUAUCCAGUCUUGCUAUCUUUAUAGCCAGGUGAAAAUGAACAAAUAGACUUUUAACAGCAAAAUAAAGGAAAAUGAAAAACCUUCUCUCCAGAGGUGACCACAAUUAACAACUUGGAAUAAAUAAGUAAUAUUUAAUUGGUUGCCAAAUCUUUGACACAUCUGAGUUACUUUUAAUCAUUGUAGGAAUUCAUAUAUUCUAAGCUUUUAUAAGCUGAACUCCAAACAAUAAAACUAAGAGGAAGAAAUUAUCGUGUUGCAUAAAACGAGUUAUAAAUUGUUCUUGUACACUUUAUAACAUCCUUCUAGUGUGUGAAUUUCGGGUUUUCUGAGUUUUAGCUAAAUCUGUGUAAGAAUGACAUAUUACAAAUUAAUAAUGGGAUUAACUGUCUCGUAAGUGCAAAAAGCAAAUUUCUAAAACCUGCCUUAGCCUAUAAAGGCUUCAGCUGUCUACCUCAGCAGGAGGCCAAGAGAACCUGAAUGUUUUGCUAAAAGACCUGUGAGACUGGAAAAAUUCCAAGUUCAAAAUCAUGUGCUUUUGGAAGAAACAUAUGCUUAACAUUCUGCAAGGAUCUUUCAGAAAAUAGAAGGAUUUUCUAUCAGGAUACUUAGAAAGUGAGAUGUAUAUGUCAGGCUCUGCAACAUUUAAAAAUAGCCUGUUUUCUCCAACAAAUGGUAUACAGUUUUUUUUAUAGAUAAUGUUUUGAGAAAAUGAAAAUACUCCUAUAUGAAUGAACUUUCAAAGCUAUUUUCUGAGCUGUUAAGCAUUUUCUGUGUGUGUGUUUAACACUUUGUUAUAAAGAGCAAAUCACUUGAAAAGAAGAUUCUUUUUCAUAGUCUUACUUGCAAUGUGAGUUGAAAAAUACUUUCAGCUUUCACUACUCAGUUGUUAUGGGGUAUCACUCUUUCUGGCUUGUCUCCCGGCCGUUUUCUUAUUCUUUUACUUUACUUUUCUUUCUUUCUUUCUUUCUUCUUCUUCUUUUUUUUUUUUUUUUGACACGAAGUCUUCUUCUGUUGCCCAGGCUGGAGUGCAGUGGUGCGCUCUUGGCUCACUGCAACCUCUGCCUCCAAGGUUCAAGCGAUUCUCAUGCCUCAUCUUCCUGAGUAGCUGGGAUUACAGGCGUGCACCACAAUGCCUAGCUAAUUUUUUUUGUGUUUUUAGUAGAGACGGGGUUUCACCAUGUUGGUCAGGCUGGUCUAGAACUCCUGACCUCAGAUGAUCUGCCUGCCUCGGCCUCUCAAAAUGCCAGGAUUACAGACGCGAACAACUGCGCCUGGCCCAUUUUCUUUAUUUUAUGUGGAGAGGGUUUCUUAUCAGCAUGUGAUUUAUAUCUUUGUGCAGAUUAGCUGCUAAAAGGGACAGGAAGAAAGUAUUAUAAAGCUUUGCUGUGUUCUCUAGUGGGAGGGUACUGGUGGGUAGAAACAUGCUUUGUUUCCCAAAUACACAACCAGCCUUGGUAGAUGGGGACAGAGGCAUAUGGUCUCUACUGGAAGUUACUUGCAGAGCCUACUUACUGUUAGACUUACGAGGACGAAAGAAUCUUGAAAUGUCUUCUAAUCUGCCCCCGUGUUCAGGUAGAACAUUGCAUAAGCAUUGUCUUUUAAUGUCUUAUUUUCCUUCUGUUCUUCUUUUCCUUUUCUCCUCUCAGUCCCCCCACUCCAUCCUUCCUUCUGCCAUUUCCUUGUCCCUCCUUCUUCCUCUCAGGGAAAUUAUUCAUCCUCUUUUCAGAUUGCCCCUGAGUUGGCCAGAGUUCAAGGGAGAGGACCCUGGCUCAGGGAUCACAAGAUUUAAACCCAGAGCAGGUGGAAAAGUGGCUCUUUAAUGAGAUCACAGAUAAGAUACACAAAUUACAAAAAAUUAUUGAUUGGCUCAUGCUCUGGUCUAAUUCCAGUUUAGGAACCAAGUCUCAUGCACUUGUACUGGUUGUAAGGAAAUCACCAUGUUUAUGGUGUGAAUGAGGAUUAAACUGGGACCCAAGGCAUCUUUGGAAGAGGCUGGGGCAAGAAGCCAACUGGCCGCUCCACCACCCCUGACAUUUUGGAGUUCAUACUUCUCUUGGUUCACUUUCCCCAGAGGUUACCACAUCAGCACUCAGAGAUUGUCUCUGUCUUAGUGCUGCCAAAUACACUGCCAGGAACUGGUGCUUUCUUUUUUAUUAGUUGUAGUUUCUGAGGAGUAAUUAUAGCUUUUCCUUUCUGAGAAUGAUGUUUUCAGGACAUAAACAUACUCCACACCUGUUUUCUGUAACGUUGUCAGAAGAUAGCCCUCAGCUGGCAGCUCCCUCUGGAAACUGCCCAUGGCUGUUCUUGGUGGAGGCAGCUUGCAUUAGUGACUAACUUAGGAGGAAUCUAAGGCCAGGUGCUCCUGCUGCCACGCAGGACAAUUCUGAAGGUCCAUUUUGGCUUUAUUGUGCCUCCAUGUGAGGCAGGACAAUAGGGUCUGGAGGCAGGGAAACCAAGGCCAAUUCAUGCCAACUUCCUAGAAAUAAAAGGAAAGCCCCGACUUUCCACACCUAAGUAACAAAAGGACCAGAGGCUACUUACUUUGCAACGUCGCUACCCCCGUCCCCCAUCCCCCCCUUGCUUUCUACAACCAAUCAGACACUUGUUUAGGGUGUAACCUUUGUAACUUCAGCCUCUGAUUGCAGACCACUACUUCAUUUACUUAGGGUGUACACCAAGUAACCAAUGAAACCUUUAGAGGGUGUUUAAACCCCAGAAAAUUCUGUAAGGAGAACUCUUGAGCCGGCUCCCCCUCAGUGGAGUGUACUUUCAUUUUCAGUACAGCUCUGCUUUUGUUGCUUCAUUCUUUCCUUGCUUUGUGCGUUUUGUCCAAUUCUUUGUUCAAAAUGCCAAGAACCUGGACACCCUCCACUGGUAAUACAUGGAGUGGGCUGAAGCCUUUGUUGAGGCUGUAUCACUGCUCAGCUUCUCUUUCUCAGUCCUGGUCCCUUCUCCUUCCUUUCACAGGGCUUAAUCCCACGAGCAUUCUCUAAUAAAUGUGCUGCGUGUGAAUCCCUGUUUCAGAGUCUCUCCAGGGAACCUAACCCGUAAAAAUUAUCUUUUCUUAAUCUUGCCAGGGAAGACAAUCAUGCACAAAAGUAAAAACCCUCCAAACAGAAAAAGUCUCAUAAAUUACUGGCAUUACAAUACAUUACACAGGCUGGUGCUUUAGCAUGCCAAGGUCAAGUUCUCAUUCUCUUUGGCUGGGCUACAAGAAUGGGUGGGUAGAACCCCAAACAACUGGGUAGAAGAACAGAGAUUCAGACUUUCUCAUAGAAAAGAAAUUUCCAGAACUGACUCAAUACCAAGCUACAUCGGAGGCACCUUCAUGCAGGGGCUAAGGGGAUAGACUCUGUGGACAGAAUACCUUAGUUUGCAUUCUGGCUCUGCUAGUCACUGUGUCUCCAUGCCAUACUCCUCUCAUUUGUAAAAUGAGAACAGUAGUGGUACUUUAUAGGGUUAUGAGAGACUGAAUGUACAAAUAGACAAUGGCCAGACCAUAUGCAGAAAUAGUACCCUUACGGUCUGCAGCAACUAGCCCAAAAACCAACCCAUUAAGCCCAUGAAGCUAGCCUGCCUACAAGUCAGCUUUGUAUGAAAUCAGACCACAAUCUCUAACAAACAGUCCAGGAAGUCAAACAAUAACUGCUGUAACAACUGGCCCCAAGUGGCCAGGACUUGAUAAAUGACUGACAGCUUCCCCAGUUUUUGUUCCUGAUUCCAAUAUGCAACCAACCAGGGAAAGUUAAAUAUGCUCCCUAUAGGAUGCUCUGCUCCUAGUCAGCCCACCCACAGCUUCCCCAUACCAACGUCCUUCAAUCAGAACAUACCAGAAGCUGUCCCUUCUUUCUACUAUGAAGCUUUCCCAUUUUUCUGCCUGCCUUUGAGUCUCUGCCAAAACACGUGAUAGUGGUUGACUCCCUUGCUAUAGCAAGCUUUGAAUAAAUAGAUGUCUUUGUCCAUUUUCUGCUGUUAGAAUAGCACAGACUGUGUAAUUUAUAAAGAAGAGAAGUUUAUUUGGCUCACAGUCCUGGAGGCUGGGAAGCCCAGGUUUGAGGGGCCGCAUCUUGGAGAGACCUUUCUGUUGCAUUAUAACAUAGUGGAGAGCAUCACAUGGCAAAGGAGGACAAAAGAGGGUGAGACAGAUAAAGGGGGCCAAACUCCUGCGAUAACUAACCCACUCCCACCAUAACGGUGUUAAUCCAUUCAGGAGGGCAGAGCCCUCAUGACUUAACAGCCUCUUAAAGGUGUCACCUCAUAACACUGUUACAAUGGCAAUACAAUUUCAACGUGAGUUUUGGAGGGGACAUUCAAAUCACAGGAAUUACAUUUGCUUUCUCAUUUGGGUGGUCUUGUUUAUUUCCACAGUUAAUGAGUGAAUGGGUUAACAUUUGUAAACCACUUGGAAACAGUGCCUGGCACAUAAUGCUAUAUAAUACUUUAAAGUAAAAUAAGUAGCAGAUCAUGGUUUAGAGGUGAUACCCAGACUUAAUAAUUUCCUCACAUGUUUUGUUUAAUACUGUAUUUUUUAUUAUAUGAAUCCACUUUAAUUAAUUAAUCAUUUUUUUUUUUUGAGAUGGAGUCUAGCUCUGUUGCUCAGGCUGGAGUGCAGUGGCACGAUCUUGGCUCACUGCAACUUCCGCCUCCUGGGUUUAAGCAAUUCUCCUGCCUCAGUCUCCCGAGUAGCUGGGAUUACAGGUGCACACCACCAUGCCCAGCUAAUUUUGUAUUUUUAGUAGAAACGGGGUUUCACCAUGUUGGCCAGGCUGGUCUCAAACUCCUGACCUCAGGCGGUCCACCUGCCUUGUCCUCCCAGAGUGCUGGAAUUACAGGCAUGAGACACCACGCCUGGCCCUAAUCCACUUUUAUUUCUGAGGACUCCUGAUUUUCAGAAGUUCUUAAGUGGAGAAAUUGACCUACGUAGUCGGUAGAGGGUUCUAUAGCAGACACCAGGCCUGACAGGUGUCCCUUCCUUUGCUCCAGAUGGCUUCCAGGAGGGCUUUUUCAACACCCCAUCUCUGUAGGUUCUGGUGUUAAUUUCUCAAGUGUCCUAUUGAUGCCUUUGAUUCUAUCUGUCUUCUGGGCCCAAGACCCUUGGUUCUGGAAGGCUCUCUUCCCAUGUUGUACUAUUUUGUGGAUCCCAUAAUCUACUUUUAUCCAUCAUGAUGCCAUGUUCACAUGUCAAUUACACUAUCCUUUUCAGCCUUGUCUGAUGGGAAAAUUCCUCCAGGAAAUUCUACAUACACCAAUAAAAUUCUAUAUAUGCCCAUUUAUAUCUCUGAUCUAUUAGCCUACCAGAAUUAUCCUAUAAAAUACCUAGAUAUGUAGAGAAAUUUGCAACUCUGGUUUCUACUUCCAGAUUAUAGCAGGCAGAAACUUUGGCUCUUGGCCCAUUGAGUUACUCUUGAUCUGUUUCAGUGUUCCAGACUGGGACUUAGGGGCAAAAUGAGGCCUUGUCCUUGGCCUCGAAAAAGGUCAAAAUUUUACUUCAGAAAACUGGCAUGUCUAGGUUUCAGAUUGUCCUGGGUCUUCUGGUGUCCUGAGCACAUUGAGGCUUAUUCUUUUGCUUUUGGUUGUCUGUACCAGCCGCUUAUACAGGGCCAGUUCUGACCUGGAGGGUGAUGGCAUGGAAUUUAAGACUGGUGACUUGGGGGUUUAUGGGAAUAUGUAUGAAUUCCAGUUUAGUUCCAAUUAGUGGCUCUGAAUUUUCUUUCCCUUGAUAUGGUCAGAUUAUGCUGUGAUAUUGGCAGAAAUGAGUUCCUGACUUUUUCCCCUAUGGUCUAGAUAGCAGAAAAUCCAGCUCAGCUAGACAUAUAAGCUUGUGCACAGACACUGCUGAAAAUGGUGGCUGAUGUGGGCGCUCUAGGAGACUGGCCCUGUUUUCACAUUAUCGUGGCCCCUUGGGAAAGUGAGAUCAACUCUUCAUUGAAAGGAGGUUGAUAUUGAAGAAAAGAACUUUAACAGUGUUUGAAUACUUUUCUUUUCUUUUUUUUUGGUUUGAGAUGGAUUCUCACCCUGUCACUCAGGCUGGAGUGCAGUGGCAUGAUCUCAGCUCACUGCUACCUCCUCCUCCUGGGUUCAAGCGAUUCUCCUGCCUCAGCCUCCCAAGUAGCUGGGAUUACAGGCAUGUGCCACCACACCUGGCUAAUUUUUUAAAAAUAAUAUUUUUGGUAGAUUAGGGGUUUCACUAUGUUGGCCAGGCUAGUCUCGAACUCCUGACCUCAAGUGAUCUGCCCACCUCAACCUCCCAAAGUGCUGGGAUUACAGCCGUGAGCCACUGUGCCCAGCCAGUAUGUGAGUUCUUAAUAGUCAAAGCAAAAGAGCAUGUAGGUAACAAGUUUGUAAUGGAAGAAGGACUAGAAGGAGGUGAUCAGACAUGGUUUAGAACAGUGAUAGUGUGGCUUGAAAGCUGUGGCAUGCAGCUGGUAGCCCAAUGUUGCCAAGAACCACCAUCCAUUUGGAAGCAAACCCUUCCUUAGAGUGGCCUGUUGGAGUCUCCACCCAUGUAGAAUCAGCUUGCAGAGCUGGUUCCUCAAAAGAAAAGCUUUGCAAUGAAUUAGAAGGACAAUUUUAAGAGAAAAGGUGCUCUGCUAGUGACAGCUGACAGCAAAUUUGGAGACCGAAGGACUAUUUCUUUAACAGGUGACUCUGAGUCAUGAAGAAAAAUAUUAUAUUUUACAAAUUCUAAGAAUACAUCUAUAGGAUGCAUUUACAAAGACCAGAUUAUUACAAACAAUUCAAGUAAUAACAAGUUCAAUAACCUAGAGAAUUCACUGACAUGGAGCACCAUUUCUCAGUGUCAAGAUCUGUUGCAAGGACCAUAGUUCCAUCGAACUAGGUUGAAAGAGAAAUCACUGGAAGGAUACUGGGCUCUCUCAGGAAAUGAGAAAGUAGGUAUGGGCCUCAUAGAUGCUAAAACCAAUAACUUAGAGGGUCAGGAAGGAGAAUUCUCUCUUCUUCUCUGAAGCCAGGUAGUCUAUUUUCUUUGCUUUUCUUAAUCUCCCUGAUUCAUGAUUGGCAUUUUCUUUUCUUUUUUAUUUUUUUGAGACAGGGUCUUGUUCUAUCACCCAGGCUGGAGUGAAGUGGCAUGAUCAUAGCUCACUGUAACCUAUAAUGCAUGGACUAAAGUGAUCUUCCUGGCUCAGCCCCCUAAGGAGCUGAAACUACACUCAGGCAUGUGCUAACACAACUGGUUGAUGUUUUUUUUUUUUUUUUUGAGACAGAGUCUCACUCUGUUGGCCAGGCUGGAGUGCAGUGGUGCAAUCUGGGCUCACUGCAACCUCCAACUCCCGGGUUCAAGUGAUUCUCCUGCCUCAGCUUCUCAAGUGGCUGGGAUUACAGGCGGAUGCUACUGCGCCGGGCUGAUUUUUGUAUUUUUAGUAGAGAUGGGGUUUUGUCAUGUUGGCCAGGCUGGUCUUGAACUCCUGACCUCAGACAAUCCGCCUGCUUCAGCCUCCGAAAGUGCUGAGGUUAAAGGCAUGAACCACCAUGCCCGGAUCUUUUUUUUUUUUCCUAUUUUUUAUAGAGUCAGGGCCUUGUAAUGUUGCCCAGCCUGGUCUAGAACUCCUGGCCUCAAGUGAUCCUCCUGCCUUGGCCUCCCAAAGUGCUGAAAUUAUAGGCGGAAACUACUGUGCCUGGCCCUAGAUCAGCAUUUUCUAUUUUAGCAUGCACAUGGCUGUCCCAUCCAAGCUGCAUGUAGCCUUCUAGAUACUCAAUAAGAACUCAGUACAGGCUGUCUGGUCCUCCUGUCUUUUGGAUCCAGUUCUCUCAUGACAUCAUUUGCUUGGCUCAUAGUAUUGGUAUUGGCAUGUAUUGGUUCUUCUUAGGUCAUGUCCCCAGCUCUUGUCCAAUCAGCUGUGGUCAUGGGGGCAAAAUGACUGUAAGAGGAGUUUUAUUCUGUCAUUCAUUCAAUAAAUAUUGAACAUCAAAAAAUUUUGUUUUGGCCAGGUAUUCUAAGUAGCUGGAGUUCAAUCUUGAGCAAAGCAUACAUACAUGGGUCUUGUUGUCAUGGCCUUAUAGUAUAGCAGGGAAGACAGAUAUUAAUGAAAUAUUGUAAAAAUUAUUUAUUUAUUAGAGACAGGGUCUCACUCUGUCGCCUAGGCUGGAGUGCAGUGGUGUGGUCAUAGUUAACUGCAGUCUUGAACUCCUGGCCUCAAGGGGUCCUCCUGCCUCAGCCUCCUGGGUAGCUGGGACUACUGCUGGGACCACUAUUUAUUUUAAAUUUGUAGAGACAGAGUUUUGCUAUGUUGCCCAGGCUGGUCUCCAACUCCUGGCCGCAAGUGAUCCUCCUGUCUUGGCCUCCCAAAGUGUUGGGAUUAUCAGUGUGAGCUGCCAGGCCUGGCCAGAUAUUAAUGCAGUAUGAACACACACGAAUAUGUAACAAGAUGCUGUAGGGUGCUGAACGGGAUCCUGUUUUCUCAAUUUUAUUACUAAGGCUCACAAUAAGGAAAAACCACAGCAAGCAUUCUGUACUCUAAGUUGGAGGGACAAUUAGUGCUCUGGACCAGCCACACCACUCAGGACUUCUUGGGAAGCACUCAGAGAACAGACCCAAAUGCCUCCCACAACACCUGACCCCCCUCCUCUGGAUAUGAGAAGAGGGCCUGGAGGGGGAAGAGGAAUGCCGCCUUUUGGAGGACAGCAGUGUUUGAGAUGUGAAGCUAUUCUUUUCCUUCUCAAGCUGGAGGGAAAGUGGGGAUUUUUUCUUUCCAAAGCCAAGGCAGGGAAGCCCCCAAGAGAACCAUUAGUGAAGGAGCUGCCUUGUAUUCUUAUGAACAGUUCAGUUAAUAACAAGUUAAGUAACAUACAGUAGGGUCUCUAAGCGGGCAUCUGCUCAUCUAGCAGACUUGCUGGGCUGCUGCUGUGUUACUGGAACAGGACAAAGGCUUUCUGGGGAGAGAUCUGUGGCAGGUGGGAAGGAAGUCAAUGUUUCCUUGCCUCAGGCUUCAGGUUAUUGCCAACUACGGAAGUUGGAUAUUACAAGGGCCUACUGGCUGAAGAAUUGGCCAUGAGGGAAGAAGAGAUUGGGGCUACAGAGGCCCUGGGCUGCUACAUUAUGGCAUAAAUUAAUGCACAUUAAAGCCAGCAGCGAUUGGCCCAGUCACUCUAAGAGUCACCAUCUGUUUGGGAAUGAGCCCUCCCUCCGAGGGGCCUGUGGAGUGUCUACCCGCCUACCUGACACUAAAGACCAGAGAUCUAGGAGGGCAGUUAAUGGCCCUUGGGAGAGAAUGCCAAGUUCACUCUUGUUCCUCUUUUUACCCCAAGACCAAAGGAGCAGGUACAAGGAAGAGAAAGAGGGAAGGGGAGGUGCAUGAGAACAGACCCCAGACUGUGUCCCCUACAGCAUCCCCCACCCUCUCACCCUCAGCCACUGGAGCCACAAAGGAGAGAAAGAGACCUGAUCGAAUAUUGACUUAAAUUUUAAAAUGAACAGGACCAAACCUUUAAGAAACAGAACGCAAUUGUUUUCAUCAUGGAAACUGAUCACUAAGAUUAUCAUGGUAUUCAGUGAAAAGGGAUUUUAAAUAAGGGAGUAAGUAAGGGGCUCAGGGUUUGGGGGAGGUGGACAGAAAGCAGAGAGGCAUUGCAACCAUGUGCUCAGCUCCACCUGGCAAGAAACCUACGGAAGCAAGAAAUCAGUGUGAAAUGAAUGCCCUCCAGGGAGACACAAGGAAGGAGUCUGCUGUCAAAGAGAAUACAAAGAAAGAUUUGGGUGUGUGGCUGUAAAAAUUGGCAUUUUGAAUUAGAUUUCUAGUGCACCUUUCAUUCUAAGGGGAGAAAAAUAGGCCCAGGGAGAAGUAACCUCCUUGAUCCCACACGGCCAGUUGCUGGAGAAAGGCAGAGACUAGAAUGCAGUGCUGGGCUGACUUGGAUGGUCAAGUGCAUUCCUUCUCCAACACUUAGCAUCAUUUAGCAUCAUUCCACAAGGGAGUGAGAAGGCAGGGGGGUAUCUGAUGCUGACAACAGUCAUUUCCCCCCUUGUAACAUUCUUCACGGUCAGCCCUGGGAAUCAGAUUUCUGCUUUUUAGGGAAUUCAAGACCAGCUACAGUCACCUAGUAUUCUGUGAACAGGUGCUGGCUUUCUUCUUCUUCUUCUUCUUUUUUUUUUUUUUUAACACUUUAUAUCAUUUAUUAAUGCAGUAUACGUUAGAUCUAAAAUCUGUAGUUUCUAAGCACACUAUGUUUAGAUCUUUCAGAUCCUUCUGCAGUUUUAGGUUAUUUCUACAGAGGUACCUUUAAGUGAAUAAAUAACACAUUCUAUAAUUCCUGAAAAUAUAGAGUGAAAUAAUUUAAAUAUAAUUUGGGCACAUAUUGAUUAUGAAAAUAGAUUAUUUCUCAAUACAAUACUUCUCUGUCUUGGUAAAAAUAAUAAAGCAAAGCAAAUAAUUCAUUUCUGAAGUUGCUUUCCUUCACUUGUAAAGGUCUGAUCUCCUCCCACUAUGCAUAUGUACCCUUUACUGUUAAGGAAAGCUUUGCAUAUGUAGAUAUAGAAGAAUAAGCUACAUAAAUACUAAAGAUAUGUCAUUCUCCCAAAGGAGACACGGGUUUUUCAAUGAUUCCUUGCCUCAUGUUGAUGAGUCUGUAGAAUUCAGAACCCAUUUGGACACAGCUAAUAUCCCUGCUCUUGCGGUAGAAAUAAGGACACCAGGUCACUGGUAGGGAGGUACAGGCCCUUCCUCUGCUGCUGCAGAGAGGUAAUGACUCGAGAAAACUAGGCUAAAAUUUGUUUAAAAAAAAAAAACCUAAAAAAUAAGUAAAAGAAUCACAGGUGCUGACUGAUUGGUAUUACAUCUUGGACCAGCCAAAUGCCUUUAUUUUUACUUUAUAUAUAUUUUUUGGUGGCUGUAAUCAAAUGUGUUUAAAAUUCCUCAUUCCCAACUGUGGGGUUCUAGCUGCAAUUAUAUUACAUUGCCUUUUAACAGGCAACUCUACCAUCUUCAUUCAUAUAAGCUUUGAUUGCAGUAGCUCUGGAUUUAGUAUCUAUUUCUAAGCUGGCCCUAUAUAAACUAUUUGGUAUUUGAAUUAAAUGAAUAUUAAUGACAGACCUUGGUUUUUUGGUUUUGAAGUAUCUUCCUAUGCUUGUGAUGAUUGUAUGAGAAAACUAGGCUAAUAUUGUAAAUAGAUAGAAUUGCUUGGUCUGGUGUUGCGUGGAACUUGUCUAGAAUGAAAUUCUGAGAAAUUCUCAUUUAUAAGUGUUGUAGUGAUAGGUAAGUUCUUCAUCCAUCCGGAGUUCCACUGUACCUUUGGAAUGACAGUGAUGUACAAUGAUGUCUUUCUUUCCACUCUGUCUCAAUCAGUAAGAACUGGCUAUUACUUUAAUUUAGCUACUGUUUUGCCCUAAAAAGUAAACAUUAUGAAAAUGAGCCUGAAAAGAGUCUUAGGGAGUCUGAUCUCACCAUAUUCAUACGGUGUGACAGGUAUUUAAAGAGGGGAGGCAUCACUAAAGCUAUUUAUGAACCUGAACAAUGUUUUUCAAGUUUUCAUAAAGUUUUAACAAUUUAAAUAUCUAUACUGCAUCUAGGUAUUCAAUAAAUAUAAUUGCAUAUGUUGUGCUUUCCAUAAAUUAAAAUCCUCAAAUGCCUCUCAAACCAGGAUGGUAUUUCCACAUCAUGCCUAUUUAAAAGCAAACAUAAUAGAUACUAUUCCUGGCCAUAAAACCAGGUAAACCACCCUACCCCGUUCAAAAGGCAGAAACAUCUAGUUUCCCUACAUAUAUUGAAUGAGUGCUUUUGUGUUACAAAUCAGAAUAUGGAAAAAAAGGUCAGUUUUUUCUCUUAUGUACCGCUGAGAACAAGCAUAAUCCUCUAAAUGUUUUUUUAAAAAAUUUCCUUACAGUGUUGUUUCUUCUAGACAACUGAGUGGGUAGAGAAAGAAAAGUGAUAAGGAAAACAUUUUCAUUUUCUACAUCUUCCUCCAGCCCCUAAAAUUCUCAUCUGACACUUUGUGACAUGUGUAAUGGUGUCAGCAUCUCUUCAAAUAUAGCUCCCUUCACGUUGGACCCUCUGAGGUUGGCUUCUUGAAGAUCACACCCAGACAGAUCACAGUUCUCUAAAUCAGUGCCUGCCAGAGUUGCUCCUCUGAAGUUACAGUUCUUCAACUUUGGAUUUUUUUAAGGUAGCCACUCUCAGGUUAAUUCCUGUCAUCUGACUUCCUUCCAUAUCAGCACCUUUCAGAUUAGCACCUUCUAAAUUGGCUUUAAGAGCAGAAGGAUCCUCAAAAUUACACAGUUUCAGGGAUGCUCCUUCUGCAUUAGAACAGAGCAUCUUGACUCCCUGGAGAUUUGCACAGUCAAGCACUGAUCCAGAGAGAUCAGCUCGUUCAAGAUUUGCACAGCAAAGAUUUGCAUGUGCAAGACUGCAGCGGCUUAAACUGGCAAUUUUGAAGUUAAUGUAUCGAAGGUCCAAACAAGAAAGAUCAGCACCACUGAAGUUCAAACCCUGGCAUCGCAGUUCUGACUUGGUUGGAGUUGCUAGCAAAAAUUGGACAAAUUCCUUUCGGGGUAUUGGUGAAUGAUCCUCCGGUGGUUGAGAAUUCUUUAUUGCCACUUCUAGGUGUUCAAUCAAUGAAUAAAUUUCAAAAAAUCUUGCUGCUUCUAACACACCCAAUAAAUUAAUGCCAUUAUUUACAAUGAGCUGUCCACAAAGCAAGUAAUUCAAAAUGGGUUCAAAGUACACAGGACUUCGGUCAAUUAAGAAAGCUCCUCUAUGAUCUUGCUUAUUUCCCCAGACACCUUUGUCCUUAAACAUGUGGACCAGCAUACUGUCAGGUUCUUUAUUCACUGAAGUGCUCCGUGUAGUUGUAAAGUACCGCCCCUCCAACAUUUAAUGUCAGCCAGUCUGUGUGGAAUCCUAACAAUCCUUCAGGAGGCUUAGAAUCUGCCUGAGGAUCUUCCGUUCUUGGGGCUGCCAUUCAGGAACAGGGCCACCCGCCUCAUCGCGCUGCCCCUGCUGGGUCCUGAGUGAGCCGCCACCCUCCCACCUGGUCCUCCUCCCACCUUUUUCUCCUUCCGCCCUUCCCCUCCCUCUACCCUCUCGGAUUCGCCUCCCUUUGCCACCUUCCUGCCCUUGGAGAAUACCACACACACACCCGCUUUCUUCUAAUGGUAUUACCAAGAUUAAUGAGCUAAACAGAACAUACAUUGAAAGCAUUGUGAUUAACUGACUUGUAACAACUGCCUAAUGGUUCUCUUAUAUUUUUGGGUUUAUUGUAAAUAACAAAAUGGCACCUCAAGUGGUUGAAUCUCAACUACUUCAAGGUUUAUUCUCAGGUCAGGUACUUUAUCCUCAAGGUUUUAUAAGUAUAUUCCCCUCAUUUAUAUUUCAUUCAUUCAUUCAUUCCCCAGACAUUUAUUAAACAGUUUCUUUGUUUAAUAAAUCUUAGGCUCUAAGAUGGGUACAAUAUUGUCCAUUGACUUUGCAGCUCACUGUCUAGUAUGGGAUAAAAGUCUGUAGACAAAUAAUAGCCAGUAGAGUGUGCUAGCUGCUACCUUAGAGGUGUAGUAAAAGUGCAAAGAGUGGUUGGAAAAAAAAAUCUUUGAAGAGAUAUGAGUCUUGAAGUUGGAAAAAAGCAGAAGGGGGUACUCCAGGGAGAGAGAUUAUGAUGGGGAAAUGUGGAGGUAUGGCUGCAUGUCAUGAUUAGAAACUGCAAGAUUUAUUCUGUUACAAAGAUACAUCCACAUGUGUGUUUAUUGCAGCACUAUUCAUAAUACCAAAGACAUGGAAUCAACCUCAAUGCCCAUAAUUGAUAGAUUGGAUAAAGAAAAGGUGGUACAUAUACACCAUGAGAUACUAUGCAGCCAUAAAAAGGAAAGAGAUCAUGUCCUUUGCAGGGAUAUGGAUGGAGCUGGAAGCCAUUAUCCUCAGCAAACCCACGCAGGAACAGAAGACCAAACACUGCAUGUUCUCACUUAAAAGUGGGAGCUGAACAAUGAGAACACAGGGACACAGGGAAGGGAACAACACACACUGGGGCCUGUUGGAGGGUGGGGUCGGGGGAGGAAGAGCAUUAGAAAAAGUAGCUAAUGCAUGGGGGGCGUAAUACCUAGGUGAUGGGUUGAUGGUACAGCAAACCACCAUGGCACAUGUUUAUGUAACAAUCCUGCACAUGUACCCCAGAACUUAAAAUAAAAAUAAAAAUUUAAAAAAGGAAAGAAUUUUUUUUAUCCCAACCUCUAGACCACUUGGGAAGAUUAGUGUGUAUGGAUGAAGCACAGGGUUCAAAAUUAGGAAUGACAGUAGAUAAGGGUGGAAAGGGGAGGCUGAUGCUGGAUCACCGGGACUGGAAAUGCCAUGCCGAGGACUUGACACUUGAUCCUGUACUUUGUAGGGAGCCACCCACUGAACAGCUUACUAGAAAAUGUGCUUCUUAGAAAAUGUCACCCAGAUGGCUGUAUGAAGAGUGGAUUAAGGGUGACAAGAAUGGAGGCAGGAUUAACAGUUUGGCUUAUUAAAAAAAAAAAAAUCAUUGGUAUUUAACCUCAUCCCCAAAGAACUUAAAAUACUUUAUAAAAAUAAAGAGCAAGAGAACAAAGCAUUUUAUGAAGAAAUUGGGGGGUAGAUAGGGAGAGAAAGAGGACUCUUGGGGUAAAAUUAUACAUUAAAAUGCAUGUCCCAGGCAGGGCGCGGUGGCUUAGGCCUAUAAUCCCAGCACUUUGGGAGGCCAAGGCAGACAGAUCACUUGAGGUCAGGAGUUCGAGACCAGCCUGGGCAACAUGGUGAAACCUUGUCUCUGCUAAAAUACAAAAAAUUAGCCAGGCAUGCUGGUGGGCGCCUAUAGUCCCAGCUACUCAGGAGGCUGAGGCACGAGAAUUGCUUGAACCUGGGAGGCGGAGGUGGCAGUGAGCCAAGAUUGUGCCACUGCACUCCAGCCUGGGUGAUAGAGUGAGAUUCCUUCUCAAAAAAAAAAAAAAAAAAAAGGAAAAGAAAAUGUAAGUCCCCCUACUAAAAGUGGGUUGCCCAUUCCUGGUACUGAGAUUUACAAAGAGAGUAGUGCAUUGACUUAGUGUUAAUGUCCUCAGCAACAUCGAUGUGAUACAGGCUGAUGGAAGCUCACGAACCCCAUUUGUCCUUCCUGUGCUCACAGGAGGACUAUAUUUUCCAGUCUUCUUUUUAGUUAGGCCAGUGGGGCACGGGCUAUUGGAAUGUCAUGGAUGUGAUGUCAUCUAUUUCAGUCUUCCAACUCUUCCUUCCCCUUUGCAUAGAUCUUGGAAGGCAUCAGUUUUAAGUGGUGUGAACUUCAACACACUUUGGACUUUUUAUGAGCGAGAAAUUAAUCCUUAUCUUGUUCAAUCACAGAGAUUUUGGAGUUCAUUACUGCAGCAUAUGUUAACCUCCCCUGAUUAAUAAAAGCCCUAUUGUAAACCUAUUUUAAAAAUCAGCCAAACUGUUAAUCAUGCCUCCAGUCUUGCCACCCUUAAUUCACUCUUCACACCGCUGUCUGGGUAUCUGUCUUUUGGAGAGUAGUAGGAAAUUAAUUUUUUGAAUUUGGUAGCGCUAACCUGGUCAGUGGCAGACAGGAUUAUUAUAACACGGUCUCUGGAGAUGCAUUUUUCCCUCCAUUAUUCACUGGCAAUAGCUCAUCGGGCUGCUUCAGAUUUUCUGGAAGCCAUGAAGCCAUGACAAGCCUUGAUUCUCUGCUGAUGAUUUUUGGUCAGUCCUAUGGUCAUGAUUAUAAUUCACUGCAAAUGUAAGAGGGCAUUCAGCAACCUCUGAUUAUAUAUCAGUCUUUCUAUUUUUUUGUUGUUGUUUCUUUGAAAGCACUUAAGAUGCAAUGAAGUUUUUUUUUUUUUUUUUUUUCCCAUAGACAAUGCCUUUUUCUGUUGCACAGGCUGUAGUGCAGUGGUGUGAACAUAGCUCACUACAGUCUCAAAUUCCUAGGCUCAAGGGAUCCUCUCACCUAAGCCUCCAGAGUAACUGGGACUACAGGCACACACCACUGCAGCCGGAUAUAUAUACAUAUACAUAUGCAUAUACAUAUAUAUAUACACAUAUGCAUAUACAUAUAUAUAUAUAUGUAUACAUAUUUGGAAGAUGCGGGGGUCUUACUGUCUUGCCCAGGCUAGUCUUAAACUCCUGGCCUCGAGAUCCUCCCACAGCACUGGGAUUACAGGCAGAAGCCACCAUGCUUGGCCUGCAAUUGCCCUUUUAACAUCCACCAUAAUAGUCUUCCUUUGUUUCUUUCAGAAGUGUUGAGCGCUGCCUCUUGCACAAUUUUUGUCAUGAGUCAAAACCGUUCAUUAGAACACAAAGUAGAUGGAAUAACAACACAGAUAGCACCCUCAUUGACUAAAUGAUGCAGUGUGGUGUGCUAGAGCUCAUUGGCUGAGAGUGGAUGGUACCAUGAGUUGGGCCAACUCUUACUGCCUAAGAAUUUAUCAUAGCAUGCAGAACAUUGGGAAAAUACAGGAACGGUAUACUAGAGCAAGUUGUUUAUAUAUUUUUUAGAAAAAUAUUUCAGAAUCAGGAGGUUUAUAACAAAUACGUGCUGAUCAAGAGUUUGUUAAAUGGAUAUUAUAAGGACUUCUGUGUAGCUGCUUAUUAUAGCUUUCAAAGCAAGCAGCUGGCACAAUGCCACUGCACAAUUCAGUGUUUGUCAUUCUAUGAGGAUUAAAAGUGAUGUGGUCCUGGUAUCUAGUUCUCUGAUCAUCAGGAAAUAAUGGUCUCUCCCAUGAAAUCAUGCUUUGAUACUGAGCUUGUGAUCAAUAUUCUGGAUGACAGAAUAGUGAGAUUAUACUCUUACAAAUUCUCAAUGGAUGGUGUUUUAGGUUUCCAAUUUGGGGAAGAUAUAUACACUUUAUUAGAUAGUUGCAGUGGGCAUAGCCAGAUGUCAAAUUCAGAAAAGUUGUUUUCAUGGAUGAAGCGCAUUGUUUAUUCCAUUUUGAUGUAGUUUUAUUCUUAUUUAUAAAAUAAAAAAAUGCCGGUGUUUUUCCAAUACAAAAACAAAUGGGACGAUUAAUUCCAUGUUUCUAUACAAUAUAGUAUAAUCAUGAUAUCCUUAGUCUUUCCAAUAUAAGUGGGAAAAAGAAGACAUCUAAAUUAAAGUAAUAUUAGCUUUUGGUGAAUCCUUCAAGGUGAAGUGAUUAUAUUAAAUACCUCUCAGUAACCAAAUAGUCUUGCAAUGUGGGAUUUUUAGACAUGGAACAAAAACCUCAGAUUUUGUUUUGGAAUAGGUGAUCUUGAGUAACACCUUCUGAUAGCAAUAUAUAGCAGGGCCAAGUAUAUAUUAUUGUCACUCCUGAUCUGUGACAUUAAAGCCAUACAAUUCACCAGAGGGAAUUCCUUUUUCUUUUUUUCCCAUUAAAAAAAAUACAAGUGUUUGUGCUGAUGUUUUAAUAUCUGAAAUAAAAAAUCCUAAAAGCUAAACUUCUCACUUAUUUAAGUAAAAGAAUCAUUGGGACUCAAAGAGUUACUCUUUUUAGAAAAUUGCCAUCAACUACGUUGUUCCUGUUAGAACUUAAAGAGGAAGGAUUAGAUUCUACCAUUAAAAAUUGUUGUUUGAUAAUUCUGAAGGAAGAUUCUCUUUCUUUGGUGCUCUAUUAUAAUUAUUAUUACAUUUAAAAACAAAAAAAGCCCAGAGUAUGUAAAUUAAAACAGUUGGCAAGUCCCAACUGCUUUCCACCUUACCUUCUCUUUUUCCGUCUUUUAGCUAUUCUUUUUGCUGUUCACCCCCAUAUUUCUAAAUAAUGCAUAGACAUCACUAUUUCUUCUUCCUUCUUUCCCACCAAUUUCCAAGAUGGAAGGUGAGGAUUUCAUACUUUUACAGUUUCCCCCUGCCCCUCCACACACGUAACACCCUAUUCUACCAAUAUUACUAGAUACUUGAUAAAUCAAUAUUUGUUAUGACUAUGUAAAUAGUAUCCAUUGCUGUGCCUUCUAGUGUAUUAUAAUUCCAUUUACUUUUAUUCAACUUUUUGCUUUCUAUAGAUCAAGUAUACUAUUUAUUUUACAUUUUCAACCUUUCUAUUUACCUGUUUAAUUUUUUUUUUUUUUUGAGGCGGAGUCUUUCUCUGUUACCCAGGCUGGAGUGCAGUGGCACGAUCUUGGCUCACCGCAACCUCUGCCUCCCGGGUUCAAGAGAUUCUCCUGACUCAGCCUCCUGAGUAGCUGGGAUUACAGAUAUCCACCACAACCCCCAGCUAAUUUUUGUAUUUUUAGUAGAGAGGGGGUUUCACCAUGUUGGCCAGGCUGGUCUUGAACUCUUGACCUCAAGUGAUCUGCCCACCUCAGCCUCCCAAAGCGCUGGGAUUACAGGUGUGAGCCACCAUGCUUGGCCUUACCUACUUAAUUUAGUCCCAAACUGUAUCUGUUAAAAUAUAAAUUUCCCCACAAUACAUUCAAAUGUAGUGGGCAGGCCUGCCUGCCUGCCUGCCUGCCCUUCCUCCCUCCCUCCCUUCCUCUUACCGUCCCUUUUUUCCUCUCUCCCUUUUCUCUCUUUUUUCAUUUCCCCAACUGGUGACAUUCAUUCUGUAGCCCCAGAUUCCUCUGCCCCAACCUGGAUGAGUUCUCUCCAGGAAGAUGUCUGAGUACUGGUUUUCCUUCUACUGUCACCGUGGAAAUUUCCUUUGCCUCUUUCCUGAAUUGGAUUCCAUGCCUUCUCCUUUCUUGGUUUAUUGCUAUACUUGGUCAAGCACAUCCCCCUGAAACUUUUCGUAAAAGGGUACUCAUGUAAAAGGGCACAUCACAGGUUAAUUUUUUGAGAUUUUCCACGUUUGAACAUAUUUUUAUUCUACUCUUACACUUGAAUGAGUUUCAACUCUGCAUUAGUCAGCUUGGGCUGCCUUAACAGAAUACCACAGACGGGGUGUUUUAAACAACAGACAUUUAUUUAUUUUCUCACAGUUCUGGAGGCUGGAAGUCCAAGGUCAAAAUUCCAGCUGAUUCUGUUUCUGGUGAGGGCUCUCUUCCUGGCUUGCAGAUGGCCGCCUUCUUGCUGUGUCCUCACAAAGCCUUUCUUCCAUGAGUGGACACAGGGACAGAGAGCAAGAGUGAGCUCUCUGGUGUCUCUUUUUAGAAGUACACUAAUCUUAUCACAUCAGUGCUCUAUCUAAAUGACCUCAUUUAACCUCAAUUACUUUCUUAGAGGCUGGAUCUCCAAACAUAGCCACACUGGGGGCUAGGGAUUACAAUUAUUUUUUUCCUUAAAAUUUUGAAGGCAAGUUUCCAUUACCUUCUAGCAUUCAGUGAUUUUGAGACGUCUGAGACCAUCCUCAUUACAAAUCCUGUGUAUUGAACUGUUUUGUCCUUCUGGAGGCUUUUAAGAUCUUCUCUGUAUCCCCAGGCUUCUGAAAUUUCAUGAUGAUGUGCUUUAGUGCAUGUUUUCCUAAAAAAAUUCACGGUGUGGAUGAAAAAUUGUGGAUAUUUUAAAUUGAGAAAUUCAUGUUAUUUAAUCUGAAUGUUAAAAAAUUCUUUUUAGAUAAUUUAUUUUCUAUUUCCUUUUUUUACAAAGAAUUUCUAUUUUUCUGAUUUAGAUCUCCUGAUGGAUCCUUUCUUUUUUUACUAAAUUGUAUUUUUCAUAUUUAAUUUCUGUGUCUUUUCAUUCCCUGUCUAUUGAAUGUUGGUAUCUAUAUCUAUCUAUAAAUAUAUAUAGCCCUGAGGCUAGAUAGUAAAGGUAUACUGUUCUUUCUACUAUAUGAAGGCAACUACCUCUGAUUAUAUUGCUAAUAAGGAUGGAAAAAAUUGCUAAGUGCACACUAAUUUCCAGGAGCUGUGUUAAUUUUCUCUAGUGAAGAUACCACAUUUGCAUUGCAGCAGUGGUUGGCGUCACCAUCUGCUACUGUUUGUGACAGUCUGUAGUCAUCUUUGUGCCCUUUCUGGCUUUGGCAUUGGGAAAACAGAUGCAUUUAAUGGUGUUGUGUUGAGAAUUAUCACCCUGGGUGUCUAAAGUAGUCAAAUUCACAGAAACAAAGUAGAAUGGUGGUUUCCAAGGGCUGGGAAAAUGGGGAGAUAGGGAGUUGUUGUUUAUGGGUGUAGAGUUUGAAUUUUGCAAGAUGAAAAUGUUCUGGAGAUCCAUCACACAAUGUGAAUAUAUAUAACACGACUGAACUGUGUGCUUAAAAUUGGGUAAGAUGGUAAAUUAUGUUAUGUGUUUUUUAUAAUUUUUUUGAAAGCAAAACAACAAUCAAAGAAUUAUCACUGCAUUUCUCAAAUAUUUGAUGGUGGCAAUUAUUGCUGCAAUUAUCAUGGGGAUGUAGCAUUGUUUGUGGUUUACUAUCUCAGUAAAGGCUGAAGCAGUUCCAGAAGUUUCUACUCUGCCCUUCCUACCCAAAUAGCCCUCACUUCGCUGACCAGAGAACCAAAGUAGGGAGUCUACCAAUUACUAAAUGUAUCUAUUCCCACUGUACAUUCUGAGGUUAGGGAAAUGACCGUAGAUAGAAUGGGUCUCUGGUCUUCACAGCCAAUAUCUAAUAACGCAGAAGGUCAGGUAUUUCACUUUCCCCAAUAUUCAGAUAGUCUCUUAAAUGGCAGUAGGACCCUCUGGGAAAGCCCUGGGGGAUGAUUUAGGGUGAAUAUCUGUGGCCGCAUUGCAGGAUCCUUCCUCAAAGUUCUUGCUCAGUCAAAGGGUUUUGGGUGUAUAUACUAUGUAUUUGUUUUUUAGAGUCAGGGUCUCCCUCUCUUGCCCAGGCUGGAGUGCAGUGAUGCAAUCGAAGCUCACUGCAGCCUCAAACUCCUGGGCUCAACGGAUCCUCCUACCCCUUGGCCUCCCAAAGCACAGAGAUUACAAGUAUGAGCCACUGGGCCGGCCAGGUGAACUCACUUAGGUGUGGAAACUAGUUAAGAGGCCGUGAAUUCCUUGCUGCAGCAGCUAGAGUGAGGUGUCUGCCCAGCAGACCUGGAAUUCUUCCAUUUAUAAUUACCAAGCAGCAUCCUUGUAGUCUGUCCACCCCUUUCAUUGACAGGGAUUCCACGAUCUAUUAGACAACCCCGGAAUCCUGCGAGUCUAAACCCUCCGAUAACAACUUAGUUCUUAUGGCUUUAGUGAUCAUUGUGCCCUCCUCGCCUGUGGUGGUCAGGGUUGCUGCCUGUCCUCCAGUACACUAGGAUCCCAUUUCCCCACCAAAGCCAGGGAGCGUUGGUUCUUCUGCAGCGUUUCCCUCUAUCAUCAUCGGCUUAUGGAGAAGAGCUACUGCAGACCUUUAAAAGAUGCCGAUUACUGCCUUUCCCACCAACAAAUGUCUUCCCCUCUCAUCAAUGAAUUACUUAAUUUCCUAAUGUCUUGGUGAAGGCAGUGUCCUCAGGUCCUUCUAGUGGGUAAGGGUAGGAGUGGCUAUGGAGGUCGCUCAUAAUAUAUCUGUUUCAACAUCUCCACCUCACUGAGCUUUUGGAUUCCUUCUUCUACAGUAAACCAGAGGAUUUUUAGCAUGUUAACCUCAUUGACUGCUUCUCACUCUUGAGUCCAGGCUUCAGUUAACCAAUCCAGUAGACUGGUAACACUACUCCCUGGCACUGAAGCCAGUUUAUUAAAUUCUAAUUCUGGGUUACACAUACCCAUAUCAAUACAUGCAGUCCAAACAGCUUUAUAUAUUUCAGUUUCCUGGUGCCAUGCCCUUCAAAUUGCUCCCAUACAUAUCCUUCAGAAUCCUGUAGGGGACAUUGCACUUCCUUGUCCUAUCUCUGUUAGGCUCAAACUCUCAUCAUGAACUUGGAGACAAGAAUGGUUGAGGGUCUGGCCAGGUCCUGAGCAUAAGAAACAUUCAUUUUUGAAGCAACUACCCCCGGUACAAUCAUUGAAAAUUUUUUUCUGCCCCAGGAAAAAGGCAGCGAAACUCAGAGUGGAGAGGGAUUGAUUCCGCUUUCAAGGAAGGUCCAAAAAGAUCUGGGGGUUCAACACACUCAGCCUCAUUUCUGAUUGCUCAGAUGACCUCUUCCCUAUCUCAGGCUUCCCCUCCUUCAUCACCAACCAAUACCCUUAUCGUGGUGAACAGACAUGACAGUGCUGACCACUUAGUGGGUUUUUCAACUCUAUGUCUCCUAAAAACAGGCUUGCUCUUGGGCCUCAGCUAUUUAUUCUGUUACUGCGUAAGACAAAGGACUCUUAACCAAUCUACCUACCUUCCUUCCUUCCUUCCUUCUUUCCUUCCUUCCUUCCUUCCUUCCUUCCUUCCUUCCUUCCUUCCUUCCUUCCUUCCUUCCUUCCUUCUUUCUUUCCUACUGAGACAGAAUCUCAUUCUGUCACCCAGGCUGGAGUGCAGUGGUACAAUCAUGGCUCACUGCAGCCUUGAAUUCUUGGGCUCAAGCAAUCCUCCCACCUCAGCCUCCUGAGUAGCUGGGACCACAGGUAUGCACCACCAUAACUGACUAAUUAAAAACUUUUUUUUUUUUUUUUGGUAGAGCCAGGGUCUACAUUGCCUAGGCUGGUUUUGAACUCCUGGGCUCAAGUGAGCCUCCUGCCUUCCCAAGGUGUUGGGAUUACAGGUGUGAGCCACUGUGCCUGGCCUGGUUUUCUAUGUUUGUUUUGAGUUGAAUGAUUACCAACUCCAAUUUCUUCUUUCCCCUAGGUAUCCUCUCUAGGGAAAUCAGAAAAAGCCAGCUGGUCCCAUAAUCUUUAUAAUCAGCCCUACAUGUUUUAUAAGUACUGUUGUUGCCAUAGCAAUGAUAUAUCCCAGACAGUUUAUUUUUCAGCAACUUGCCUCCUACCUGCAGUUCAUCCCAUCCCUACCUGUGAUGAUCUAAGUAAUGGUGAUGCCAACACAUGCCAUGGGUUACUAGAACCCCACUUCCUUUUAACAAGGAGUUUAACAAGGAGGUUAUUUGCGAGCUUCUCAAAUAUGUAUGAUAAGCUCAACCAAGAAUCCCGUUUUGAAAGUCUUUUUCCUAGUUUCACUCUAGGCAACAAUGACUCUAUCAGUCAGGGUCCUGUCAAGAAACAAAUGGCAUGCCCAAACUAGUUAUUUGGAAGAGGAUUUAAUAGGGGACUAUGCCUAGAGGUGCAGGUAAGGUUUGAGGAAGCUAGCUGAUGCAAUUAUAGGACUACAGGUUAGUAACUGUGGGAAGUUGACAGCACCGGCUGGAAGAGGCAAUGGGAGGAUGGUCCUGGAUCUGGAGAGGCAAGCUCUGGGCAGAUACCUGCCUGUCAAAGCUUGGCCUUUGGGAGAAGGAGGAAGCUACUCAAAGGAGGUAGCAGGGAAAACAAACCCUUUGACCUUUUUUAUUUUCAUUUUUGUUUUUUACUUUUUCUUUUCUCUUUCUUUUUUUUUUAAAUUAUACCUUAAGUUUUAGGGUACAUGUGCACAAUGUGCAGGUUAGUUACAUAAGUAUACAUGUGCCAUGCUGGUGUGCUGCACCCAUUAACUCAUCAUUUAACAUUAGAUAUACCUCCUAAUGCUAUCCCUCCCCUCUCCCCUGACCCCACAACAGGCCCCGGUGUGUGAUGUUCCUCUUCCUGUGUCCAUGUGUUCUCAUUGUUCAAUUCCCAUCUAUGAGUGAGAACAUGCAGUGUUUGGUUUUUUGUCCUUGUGAUAGUUUGCUGAGAAUGAUGGUUUCCAGCUUCAUCCAUGUCCCUACAAAGGACAUGAACUCAUAAUUUUUUAUGGCUGCAUAGUAUUCCAUGGUGUAUAUGUGCCACAUUUUCUUAAUCCAAUCUAUCAUUGUUGGACAUUUGUGUUGGUUCCAAGUCUUUGCUAUUGUGAAUAGUGCCGCAAUAAACAUACGUGUGCAUGUGUCUUUAUAGCAGCAUGAUUUAUAAUCCUUUGGGUAUAUACCUAGUAAUGGGAUUGCUGGGUCAAAUGGUAUUUCUAGUUCUGGAUCCCUGAAGAAUCGCCACACUGACUUCCACAAUGGUUGAACUAGUUUACAGUCCCACCAACAGUGUAAAAGUGUUCCUAUUUCUCCACAUCCUCUCCAGCACCUGUUGUUUCCUGACUUCUUAAUGAUCGCCAUUCUAACUGGUGUGAGAUGGUAUCUCAUUGUGGUUUUGAUUUGCAUUUGUCUGAUGGCCAGUGAUGAUGAGCAUUUUUUCAUAUGUCUUUUGGCUGCAUAAAUGUCUUCUUUUGAGAAGUGUCUGUUCAUAUCCUUCGCCCACUGUUUGAUGGGGUUGUUUGUUUUUUCUUGUAAAUUUGUUGGAGUUCAUUGUAGAUUCUGGAUAUUAGCUCUUUGUCAGGUGAGUGGAUUGCAAAAAUUUUCUUCCAUUCUGUAGGUUGUCUGUUCACUCUGAUGGUAGUUUCUUUUGCUGUGCAGAAGCUCUUUAAUUUAAUUAGAUCCCAUUUGUCAAUUUUGGCUUUUGUUACCAUUGCUUUUGGUAUUUUAGACAUGAAGUCCUUGCCUGUGCCUAUGUCCUGAAUGGUAUUGCCUAGGUUUUCUUCUAGGGUUUUUAUGGUUUUAGGUCUAACAUGUAAGUCUUUAAUCCAUCUUGAAUUAAUUUUUGUAUAAGGUGUAAGGAAGGGAUCCAGUUUCAGCUUUCUAUAUAUGGCUAGCCAGUUUUCCCAGCACCAUUUGUUAAAUAGGAAUCCUUUCCCCAUUCCUUGUUUUUGUCAGGUUUGUCAAAGAUCAGAUAGUUGUAGAUAUGUGGCAUUAUUUCUGAGGACUCUGUUCUGUUCCAUUGGUCUAUAUCUCUGUUUUGGUACCAGUACCAUGCUGUUUUGGUUACUGUAGGCUUGUAGUAUAGUUUGAAGUCAGGUAGUGUGAUGCCUCCAGCUUUGUUCUUUUGGCUUAGGAUUGACUUGGCAAUGCAGGCUCUUUUCUGGUUCCAUAUGAACUUUAAAGUAGUUUUUUCCAAUUCUGUGAAGCAAGUCAUUGGUAGCUUGAUGGGAAUGGCAUUGAAUCUAUAAAUUACCUUGGGCAGUAUGGCCAUUUUCAUAAUAUUGAUUCUUCCUACCUGUGAGCAUGGAAUGUUCUUCCAUUGGUUUGUAUCCUCUUUUAUUUCAUUAAGCAGUGGUUUGUAGUUCUCCUUGAAGAGGUCUUUCACAUCCUUUGUAAGUUGAAUUCCUAGGUAUUUUAUUCUCUUUGAAGCAAUUGUGAAUGGGAGUUCACUCAUCAUUUGGCUCUCUGUUUGUCUGUUUUUGGUGUAUAAGAAUGCUUGUGAUUUUUGCACAUUGAUUUUGUAUCCUGAGACUUGCUGAAGUUGCCUAUCAGCUUAAGGAGACUUUGGGCUGAGAGGAUGGGGUUUUCUAGAUAUACAAUCAUGUCAUCUGCAAAUAGGGACAAUUUGACUUCCUAUUUUCCUCAUUGAAUACUCUUUAUUUCCUUCUUCUGCCUGAUUGCCCUGGCCAGAACUUCCAACACUAUGUUGAAUAGGAGUGGUGAGAGAGGGCAUCACUGUCUUGUGCCAGUUUUCAAAGGGAAUGCUUCCAGUUUUUGCCAUUCAGUAUGAUACUGGCUGUGGGUUUGUCAUAGAUAGCUCUUAUUAUUUUGAGAUACAUCCCAUCAAUACCUAAUUUAUUGAGAGUUUUUAGCAUGAAGCAUUGUUGAAUUUUGUCAAAGGCCUUUUCUGCAUCUAUUGAGACAAUCAUGUGGUUUGUGUCAUUGGUUCUGUUUAUAUGCUAGAUUAUGUUUAUUGAUUUUUGUAUGUUGAACCAGCCUUGCAUCCCAGGGAUGAAGCCCACUUGAUCAUGGUGGAUAAGCUUUUUGAUGUGCUGCUGGAUUCAGUUUGCCAGUAUUUUGUUGAGGAUUUGUGCAUCGAUGUUCAUCAGGGAUAUUGGCCUAAAAUUCUCUUUUUUUGUUGUGUCUCUGCCAGGCUUUGGUAUCUGGAUGAUGCUGGCCUCAUAAAAUGAGUUAGGGAGGAUUCUCUCUUUUUCUAUUGAUUGGAAUAGUUUCAGAACGAAUGGUACCAGCUCCUUCUUGUACCUCUGGUGGAAUUUGGCUGUGAAUCCAUCUGGUCCUGGACUUUUUUUAGUUGGUAAGCUAUUAAUUAUUGCCUCAAUUUCAGAGCCUGUUACUGGUCUAUUCAGAGAUUCAACUUCUUCCUGGUUUAGUCUUGGGAGUGUGUAUGUGUCCAGGAAUUUAUCCAUUUCUUCUAGAUUUUCUAGUUUAUUUGUGUAGGGGUGUUUAUAGUAUUCUCUGAUGGUAGUUUGUAUUUCUGUGGGAUUGGUGGUGAUAUCCCCUUUAUCAUUUUUUCUUGCAUCUAUUUGAUCCUUCUCUCUUUUCUUCUUUAUUAGUCUUGCUAGUGGUCUAUCCAUUUUGUUGAUCAUUUCAAAAAACCAGCUCCUGGAUUCAUUGAUUUUUUGAAGGGUUUUUUGUGUCUCUAUCUCCUUCAGUUCUGCUCUGAUCUUAGUUAUUUCUUGCCUUCUGCUAGCUUUUGAAUGUGUUUGCUCUUGCUUCUCUAGUUCCUUUAAUUGUGAUGUUAGGGUGUCAAUUUUAGA
Molecule: long non-coding RNA, 26413 nt
Filed under: Homo sapiens (human)
Lineage: Eukaryota; Metazoa; Chordata; Mammalia; Primates; Hominidae
Description: non-protein coding lnc-WRN-4:8
Source: RNAcentral